GGUGCAUUAUCUGGUGAGACUUUUCACACAUUGUGGUCCAAAGGCAUUCCUACAAAUAUUUCUGCUAAUGACCAAAGAAUUGGUGACAGACAUCUACUGCAUCUCUUGAUGCACGAACACAUCUCUGGUUCUCUGCAGAAUUAAUCUGAGUACAGAACAGCCUAUCUAGUUGAGACCCAGGAUGGGAUGGAUUUCAAGAACAGUUGUCAUGUAAAGAGAAAUGGGAGCUCUGGUAGAAAGUGACAAUGAAGAUGAAGCCAUGCUGCCUUUCAAACACUGUUGGAAGUUCAGCAAAUCUAAAAAUGUUCCAAAUGUUCAGAAAUCCUUUUAGUACUGCUGGGUGAAUGAGGAGAAAGAACAAUAUAGUGAUGUAGUCAAUAACAGGGAGCACUUAGUGAGUCUUGGAAGCCAUUUCCCUUAGGAAAAAGAGUCCUUAUUAUUGUAAAGGUUGCCCUAUUAUUUGAACUGCUUCUAGCAGGAACAGAGCAAGAGAUGUAAAUUAAAGGAAAACUGACCACAAAGAUACCUUAUGACAUCAACUUAAAAAUACCUUAGCCCUUGAGUUAUUUUAAACUUUUUUGAUCAGUCAAAGCAUACUUUCCAAUAAAAACUCAGUUUUCCUGCUGAAUCUGACAGAGACUUUUCCUUUCAGUUUGACAUCAGUGUUGGGAGCGAAAGAGUCCACAUGUUAACAAGAAAACCCUGCCCCUUAAGACAGUCACUUCCUUCUCCCUGAGAUUUGGUUCAAGAAUACUGUUUUUAAGACUUAAA
Molecule: long non-coding RNA, 771 nt
Organism: Pipra filicauda (Wire-tailed manakin)
Lineage: Eukaryota; Metazoa; Chordata; Aves; Passeriformes; Pipridae
Exons: 3
Source: RefSeq, a predicted model, not a curated record